RNAcentral lists this ribosomal RNA (465 nucleotides) under uncultured bacterium. RNAcentral describes it as "partial 16S ribosomal RNA". It matches the Rfam family "Bacterial small subunit ribosomal RNA", at positions 28 to 507 of the family's 1533-position model. The record is from RNAcentral.
GACGAACGCUGGCGGCGUGCUUAACACAUGCAAGUCGAACGGAAAGGCCCCUUUGGGGGUACUCGAGUGGCGAACGGGUGAGUAACACGUGAGUAACCUGCCCUUGACUUCGGGAUAACUUCAGGAAACUGGGGCUAAUACCGGAUAGGAAUCCUUGCUGCAUGGUGGGGGUUGGAAAGCUUCGGCGGUUUUGGAUGGACUCGCGGCUUAUCAGCUUGUUGGUGGGGUAGUGGCUUACCAAGGCUUUGACGGGUAGCCGGCCUGAGAGGGCGACCGGCCACAUUGGGACUGAGAUACGGCCCAGACACCUACGGGAGGCAGCAGUGGGGAAUAUUGCACAAUGGGCGGAAGCCUGAUGCAGCAACGCCGCGUGCGGGAUGACGGCCUUCGGGUUGUAAACCGCUUUCAGCAGGGGCGAAGCUUGUGGUGACGGUACCUGCAGAAGAAGCACCGGCUAACUACGUG